Molecule: transfer RNA, 67 nt
Filed under: Polypedates braueri (Java treefrog)
Lineage: Eukaryota; Metazoa; Chordata; Amphibia; Anura; Rhacophoridae
Description: tRNA-Ser
Source: RNAcentral
GAGUUUGGCUGGAGCUAGUGAGUGCUGCUAACUACUUACUACCGCGGUUCGAUCCGUGGCCCACUCG